AUACGUAGGGUGCAAGCGUUAAUCGGAAUUACUGGGCGUAAAGCGUGCGCAGGCGGUUUUGUAAGACAGAGGUGAAAUCCCCGGGCUCAACCUGGGAACUGCCAUUGUGACUGCAAGGCUGGAGUGCGGCAGAGGGGGAUGGAAUUCCGCGUGUAGCAGUGAAAUGCGUAGAUAUGCGGAGGAACACCGAUGGCGAAGGCAAUCCCCUGGGCCUGCACUGACGCUCAUGCACGAAAGCGUGGGGAGCAAACAGGAUUAGAUACCCUGGUAGUCCACGCCCUAAACGAUGUCAACUGGUUGUUGGGGAUUUAUUUUCUCAGUAACGAAGCUAACGCGUGAAGUUGACCGCCUGGGGAGUACGGCCGCAAGGUUAAAACUUAAAGGAAUUGACGGGG
This 395-nucleotide ribosomal RNA is filed under the name uncultured bacterium. RNAcentral describes it as "partial 16S ribosomal RNA". It matches the Rfam family "Bacterial small subunit ribosomal RNA", at positions 523 to 918 of the family's 1533-position model. The record is from RNAcentral.